GUGGGGAAUAUUGGGCAAUGGGGGAAACCCUGACCCAGCGACGCCGCGUGAGGGAAGAAGGUUUUCGGAUUGUAAACCUCUGUCUUCGGGGACGAUAGUGACGGUACCCGAGGAGGAAGCCACGGCUAACUACGUGCCAGCAGCCGCGGUAAAACGUAGGUGGCAAGCGUUGUCCGGAAUUACUGGGUGUAAAGGGAGCGCAGGUGGAUUGGCAAGUCGAAUGUGAAAUGCAGAGGCUCAACCUCUGAACUGCGUUCGAUACUGUUGAUCUUGAGUGGAGUAGGGGCAGGCGGAAUUCCCGGUGUAGCGGUGGAAUGCGUAGAUAUCGGGAGGAAUACCGGUAGCGAAGGCGGCCUGCUGGGCUCUAACUGACACUGAGGCUCGAAAGCGUGGGGAGCAAACAGG
Molecule: ribosomal RNA, 405 nt
Filed under: uncultured rumen bacterium
Lineage: Bacteria
Description: bacterial SSU rRNA
Rfam family: Bacterial small subunit ribosomal RNA
Source: RNAcentral